CACUUGGGAAUCUUGUUCAAGAGCAGAGUCUGAUUUAGAAUGAGGCCCAAGAUUCUGCAUUUCUAAGUUCUCCAGAGAUG
RNAcentral lists this microRNA precursor (80 nucleotides) under Ictidomys tridecemlineatus (thirteen-lined ground squirrel). Its description in RNAcentral is "miRNA (ENSSTOG00000029584.1)". The record is from RNAcentral. Lineage: Eukaryota; Metazoa; Chordata; Mammalia; Rodentia; Sciuridae.